This 5281-nucleotide long non-coding RNA is filed under the name Homo sapiens (human). RNAcentral's name for it is "HSALNT0293601". Lineage: Eukaryota; Metazoa; Chordata; Mammalia; Primates; Hominidae. The record is from RNAcentral.
GAAUAAGUAAUAUUUGUGAAAGUGUUUUGUAGACUGUGAAACUUUGCACAAAUGAAAGAUCACAAGGAUGAUUGCUUACGAAGCUCAGAAAUUGAAGUGGAACUCUUUUCUUAAUGUAACACACACAUACACAUUACACACAUUUUCUCUUUGAAUAGUGGCUGCAUUGUUUUUAAUGGAACACUGGGCUACUUUUAAACAUUGAAAUCAAAAUGUACAUGCCCACUUUUUAUUAGUAGUUGCUCCAUUUGCUCUUCCAGCUUUGGCUCGAAAACAUCUGCUUGUAUGCUUAGUAUCACUGUCCUUGCUUACCCCCAUCCCUUGCCUUCUCACCCAUCUUUAGUCUGCCAUAUGGUCUUGACAUAGAUUUUCAACUGUUAGACUGUCAGGCUUUCAAGGAUGCAUUUUAAGAAAUCAGUUUCUUUGAAAGCACUUGAACCAGAAGUCAAAUGGCAUGAUGUAAACCAAUAGUUUUUCAAUGAAGAAAUGAAAACCCUCAAUAAUUACAAAUAAGGAAUGUAACCUAUUGACACCAAUUUGGUUACACUGUAUUGAUUCCUACAAAAAUAUUAUGAGAGAGUAGGCUACUUAUACUCUACUGAUCAGAUUACAAGUAUACUUAGUAAAGACAGAAAUAGUAUAGGCAUAAAAGAGUUUACCUUAAAAUGUCACCUGAUGUUAGUUGUCCCUCACUGAUUCAAGUAAUUUCCAUUAUUCAGGUGGAUCUGGCUGUUGGUGGAGAUCCCUAGACUGCAUGGGGCCAUGGGCAUGAUCUGGAGACACAGUAGGUCAUCCUCAGAAUUUACACUCUCUCUCCUUUUGUGCCCCCAUGGACCAAGUUAAGAAGGUGUAGGCUUCCAAUCUGAAGAUUGGUCACCACAAAACUCAAAGGGAAAACCUUUUAGGCCAAAGACCAUCUGAAGUGGCCCUGGUUCCUCCAUGUUUAACUCACUGGCCCCUAAUUUCUGCUGGACCUUCAUUUCAGUCGACUGUGUUUCAGGAGAUUCGGGCCACAACACCCCUGAGUUUACCGGUUUUGGUUUCUUCCUUGUGACCUUCGGCUCCAGGAUGCAGCACAGCUCCUCACUGCACUAUUUAUCAGAAUGUUGCUCUGCAUGCUUGAAAGUUUCCCCAAACAGAGGUACAUAAAAACAAACAGAGGCGAAACACAAAUCCCAUCAGCCCUGGAGGAAAAGGCCCUGAAGCUCUUCCAGUGCAGAGGCCACGCAGAGGACAGGCUCCUACCUGUGCACAUCAGCCACGCCUGGGGCGCCUCCUGGAGUCCAGGCUGCUGGCAAUGGAAUUCAUCAUGUUGCUGAUGUCACUGUAAGUUAAGUCGCAGCUGCCAGCUGAGCUAUGGGACAGUUUGAGGGAUGGCCAGAAGGUUUCUCCUGGAUGCCAUCUUCAGCAUACCUAGGAACCAGAGAAAAUGCAAUUCUUCGCAUGCCCAUCUCACUCCUGCAGCCUGGGGUCCCUCUUCAGUUUAUUUUUUUAUUUUUUUAUUUUUUUAUCAUAAGCACAUAGUCAGGCUCUGGGACAUCAUGGAACCCAGCAGCCUGCUGAAAGGUGAAGCACAAGUCUAAAGUCCUGUUAGUUAUGAAAUCCAGCUCUCCUGGAUUAGGCAAGGGGAAAACCACAUCUUUAAGAUACACUAGGGCAAGAAGUAAAGUAUGGAGAGCUGGCUCAACGAAAUUUUGUGUAUAAUAGGAGCCGUCCUAUGACUAAUUGUCACCUGUCUCAGAGACCUCAUGAUUAUUUCUGAGCUUUAACCAAUGAAUUAAUGUGGGUUCUACCUGGCUCUUCUAACGUCUUUGGAAUGGUUCCUCAGGGAACCACAGCUAUCCAUAGAGAUAACAACCUGAAUACAAGCCCAUCGCCCGAUCAGAUGCUGCUCUUACUUGCAUGACUUGGUUCUAUUCUUGCCCAGUCCCACUGGGAUAGCAGUGGUAGCUAAACAGCUAAGCAGAGUGACCUCAUUAGAUUCUCCUCUAGUAUAAAGUCACAUGUUAACUCAUUUUUGGACUCAUAGUCAGAAACUUGUAAUUUUUCCUCAUUUUGGUAUGCAGCUAUUGCACAGUGGGGGAAAUAUGAGUCAAAAGACUUGCUCUUAUAUUCCAUCUUCCCCCUCAUUGCCUGGGUGUCUUUGGACCAGUUAAUCUUUGAGCCUCAGUUAUCUAGAAAAUGGGGACACUGCUACUUUAUAUAUUUUUUUUUAGUGGGACCUAGAUAAGGUAAUAUAAAUAAAGGGGCUUUAUUUAUAUAUUGAAUGGCAUGAUGUUAGGAUUACCAAAAGGAAAUAGCUAUUCUACUUACAUUACAAUGUGGUUUGAGGAUCAAAUUCAAUAAAAUAUGUGAAGAGGGCUUUGAAAACUAGAAAGAGCUAAGCAAUGCAAAAUGCGUCGCUGCACUUGAAUGUAAUGGCUGGUGUCAUGUCAGCUGGAUUAACUGUGGUCACUAGUUCUCAUAUAUCCAUUUGCUAGAGUAGCUGAGUCCUCUGGACUACGAAAAAGGGCACAGAAGCUACAGAUACGAGAUCUGGUACUAUCUUUAUCACUACCUUUUUAUUGUGAGCACCUCAAUCAUUUUGAGAUAUUUGUCUCAUUUCUUUUACUUUGAAUAUGCAAAAACAACAGUCACCUCCUAAUAUGGCUGUUGGGAAAACACAACUGAAAUGGAUUCAGAAAAUAGCUUUUAAGGACAAAGUUAUGUGAAGGACAUAAAUUGUGCAUGAAGUCUUUCAGCAAUGAAUAGGCACAUCUCCACAUACCCCAGGAUCUUAAGCUGAUAAUGUAACAACAAGAACCUAUUGAAUCAGGACAAGGUGAUGGUUCUGCUCCUGUGGCAAUCUAGGUCUCAGAAUCUGGUAUGCAGGCAGGGUGUAGAGAGCAGAUUGCAUUUUCAGGAGAAAGGUUAAGCUUGAAUGUUUUGGACAGGAGGUGGUUAGAUGCAUUUUUAAAAAGUCCUUGAAUUUACCUGAUGAUUUUUGUGUCCUUGUGAUGGUUGUAGCCCAUUCCAGGAUAUGAAUAAAUUUAGCAACACAAAGGAGGUCAUUUAAAAAUCUUUCCCUCAGAUGCUCCACUUCCUCUUCCUUCUAGCUUUCUCCUCUUCUUCACUAAUUUGGCAACCUGCAAGGCUGCCCUUUUGAUCACUGGCAGUUUAGAAUAGUGAUAAGUGGUUUUGGAAAAUGUUAUUGAAACUUUUAUAGGAGAGUGGUGGAAAGAUGGAGAUUUCUAGAAAACCCUUAAUAGAAGAGAUCCAUUUUACUUAAUUAUUUAUUUAUUUUUAGUUUUAAAACAUUAUUUUAUUUUGAAUUAAUUUUAGACUUUAAGAAAUUGCAAAAAUACUAGAAAGUGUUACUUUAAUCCCUCACCCUGCUUCUGCUUAUGUUGACUGUCUCUCAUCAUCUUAAUAUGAUUAUCAAGAAUAGGAAAUUGAUGUUGGUACAAUAUUUUUAACUAAGCUACAGACUGCAUCUGAUAUUCACCAGUUUUCCUGCAGAUAUCAUUUUUCUGCCAUCCGAGUACUAACCAGACCCGACCCUGCUUAGCUUCCAAGAUCAGACAAGAUUGGGUGUGUUCAGGGUGGUAUGGCUAGAGACCCAAAUAUCAUUUUUCUGUCUCAGGAGCCUAUCCAGGACCCCACAUUGUAUUGAGUUGUAUUUCUCCCUAGUUGACUCCAAUCUGUGACAGUUCCCUGGUCUUUCCUUGUCCUUCAUAACUUUGGCACUUUUCGAAGGAUACUGAUUGUUACCAGUGGAAGGUAUCCGAGUUACCAGCGGCAAAUCCAUACGGGUCUGCAGCAACCUCAAUUCUUGCCCCCUCAAAAGAAAUAAUUUGACUGAGGGGCAUAAAGCAGAAAAAGAGAUCAAGGCAACUUUCAGAGUAGGAGUGGGAGUUUAUUUAAAAAGACUUUAGAAAAGGAAAGAAAAGAAAGUACGCUUGGAAGAGACCCAAGUGGGCAUGUGAAGGUCAAUUGUAGUGUUUAACCUUGAUCCUAGGACUUUAUAGGCUGGCCUCUUUCCCAUGAUUCUUCCUUUAAAGGGGGCUGCCCUCAUGCACAGUGCCCUCCUUACCCUUGGGAGUUGAGCAUGUGCACUGUGUUUAGGAAGUUGUAUGCAUGCCCAUUGGAGGCUUUCUUCCCUUUUCUCAUGGCAUGACCCUGGAAGGCCAUACUCUGCCAUUUUAUCUCCUAAUGCACAUGUCUGGGAAGUUGUGUUUCCCUGGUACCUACAUUAAGUUCACACUUUAGUGCAACAGGUGCAGACAAUCAGGAAAUGGCCUCUCCCUGGCGCUGGCUGCCAAUUUAUCACUUUUAGAGAGGCAAUGUGAUAAUUGCCAAACCAUCACCUGACAUUUUUAGUGGGUGGGGGAAGAGCCCUCUCCUGCCCUGCUUAUGCCUGUCUACCUAUAAAUACACUGAUGAGUAAUUUGGUAGAAUGUCCUUCAUUUUAGGUUUGUCUAACGUUUUGUCAUGAUUAGAGUGAGGUUAUGCCAUUUUGGCAAGAAUACCACAGAAAUGAUACUAUAUCCCUUUUCAGCACAUCAUGCCAAGGGAUUCAUGAUGUUGAUAUGCCUUAUUAAUGGUGAUAUUUACUUUGAGCACUCCAUUAGGUUAGUGUCUGCUGGUUUCUCCAUUAUAAAACCACCUUUGCAAAAAUUAUAACAGUGAGAAAAUUAUGACAGUGAAAGAGAUCUGAUCUAACCAACCCCCAUCUUGCUUUUAACCUCCAAAAUGCCUUACUCAUUUCUGGGCUUAGGCCAAGUUAACUUUGGGAGAAGUUUAGUUUAUAGUUUAACAGAUUAUAUCCCUUCCUCAAAACUAAACCACCUUUGUGUAAAGCUGAUGAAAGACCACCAGAUUAGGAGGAUGAAAGGAACCUGAAUUCUGUUAACAUGUAGAUAUAAAUGAUUACCAGCCAUUAUUCCAGAGGUCACAAGAUUUGCAACUUCCCAAUUACUCCUGCAGAUAACAUCACUAUUGUAGAACCUAAGAUUGGCCUUUUGAGAUGACUUUUCAGAUUUUUGUGUUUCUGAAAAUGGAUGGCUCCACCCAGACCCACCAACUGGUCCUGGCUCCACCCAGAAGUGGACUUAGCUUCUCAUGAGGACCAUUUUCCACACCCCUAUGAUUGCACCCCCAACCAAUCAGCAGCACCCAUUCCCUAGCCACCCCCCUCUCCUAAACUAUCUUUGAAAAACCAUAGUCUCCAAAUUUUCAGGGUGGCUGAUUUGCAUAAUAAUAAAACUCUAGUCUCCUGUUUAUCCAGUUCUAUAUGUGUAAA